RNAcentral lists this ribosomal RNA (407 nucleotides) under uncultured prokaryote. RNAcentral's name for it is "bacterial SSU rRNA". It matches the Rfam family "Bacterial small subunit ribosomal RNA", at positions 355 to 774 of the family's 1533-position model. The record is from RNAcentral.
UGGGGAAUAUUGCACAAUGGGCGAAAGCCUGAUGCAGCAACGCCGCGUGCGGGAUGACGGCCUUCGGGUUGUAAACCGCUUUCAGCUUCGACGAAGCGCAAGUGACGGUAGGAGCAGAAGAAGGACCGGCCAACUACGUGCCAGCAGCCGCGGUGAUACGUAGGGUCCGAGCGUUGUCCGGAAUUAUUGGGCGUAAAGGGCUUGUAGGCGGUUUGUCGCGUCGGAAGUGAAAACUCAGGGCUUAACCCUGAGCGUGCUUUUGAUACGGGCAAACUAGAGGGAUGCAGGGGAGAACGGAAUUCCUGGUGGAGCGGUGGAAUGCGCAGAUAUCAGGAGGAACACCGGUGGCGAAGGCGGUUCUCUGGGCAUUUCCUGACGCUGAGAAGCGAAAGCGUGGGGAGCAAACA